Molecule: ribosomal RNA, 282 nt
Filed under: uncultured Bacteroidota bacterium
Lineage: Bacteria; Pseudomonadati; Bacteroidota
Description: uncultured Bacteroidetes bacterium partial 16S ribosomal RNA
Rfam family: Bacterial small subunit ribosomal RNA
Source: RNAcentral
GAGUUUGAUUCUGGCUCAGGAUGAACGCUAGCGGCGGGCCUAAUACAUGCAAGUCGAACGGGAUUGGUAGCAAUACCAUGAGAGUGGCGUACGGGUGCGUAACACGUAUACAAUCUGCCCACCACACGGGAAUAGCCUUACGAAAGUGAGAUUAAUACCCGAUGAUACUAUCCAAAGGCAUCUUUGAGUAGUUAAAGCCGAGGCGGUGGUGGAGGAGUAUGCGUCCCAUUAGCUAGUUGGUAGUGUAACGGACUACCAAGGCUACGAUGGGUAGGGGUUCUG